Molecule: long non-coding RNA, 670 nt
Organism: Bos taurus (domestic cattle)
Lineage: Eukaryota; Metazoa; Chordata; Mammalia; Artiodactyla; Bovidae
Source: Ensembl
GAUCACACGGCCCAUGCCACGCCGGCACCCUCAGCCCCGUCUGAGCCGGGACAGCAGGCAUCCACCCGUGGGGGUCAAAGGCACACCCCGUCCAGCUGGCAGUGCAGCUUUUAGACAGGGGAUGUGCCGGAUUCAACCUACAGACACAACUCUGGUGGGCAGUGUGGUGGGUGGUAGAUGGAGAGAUGGAGCUGGAGAAGCCCUGGAAGAAAUACUGGGUCCCUGAGCUUGGCUGCAGUUUUUGUGCAGAAGCAAGGAGACGCCUGUGGGCUGCUAACAGGUGCAACAGGGACCGGGAAGACUAGGAUGGGAAGCUGCCUCCCUGCUGGUGCCCCUGCCAGUCACAUCCCCCUCGAAGGAACUCUGCCGACCAGGCCCCCAGAGGUGCAGCCGCUCAAGCUGGGUGGGGAGGCGCCCCUUUGUCCACAUCUGCUGGGGUGUAGCCUGGCCCUGGUGCCUGGAGGCCUGGGCACUUGGAGCCCCCGGGACCCAGGGGUUGAGGCUGAAGGGGAGACCUCUCCUGGUCCUAGGGAAGGAGCAGUUACCCUCACAUAGCCCUUACGAGUGGAGAAGACAAUGGCAUCGCACUCCAGUACUCUUGCCUGGCAAAUCCCACGGACAGAGGAGCCUGGUAGGCUGCAGUCCAUGGGGUCGCUAGCAGUCGGACACG